UUAAACCAGAGUUUGUCCCGGAGCAGCCGAGCUUUGCAGCCCCAUGGAGCCCAAAGGCCUUGCUGGCCCGAACUCUGCCAGUCCUCCCCGCUUGUGGCCGUUGUCACCCCGGACGGGAGCAGGGUUGGGGGCUGGCACAGCCAGGAAGGCGGCCCAUUUUCUUUUUUAUAUAUAUAAAAGUUUUUUAUUUUGAUACAAACAUACAAACAGGACAUACAAAACAUAAAAACCAUCUUCCAUAUAUACAUACAGUGUGUCAGUUGGUUACAAAUCCUUUGUGUCAUCCUUUCAUAUUCAUCACUCACAAUUUAUCAAAAAGAAAAUUUCUCAUAUUAUCAAUAAAACAUUAUGUAUUUAUCAAUUAUUACUUGUGUACAAUUAAACUAUUUAUUUCAUCAUAUAUACGAGAUAUAUUUUUAAUCUAAAAUUUAUGUUAUACUUUCAUCCAAUGGUUAUAUAUAUCAACAUUAUAUUUUAUAUCAACCUAUUAUAUUUCUAUUACAAAAUUAUAUAGACUAUUGCAUUACCAAGUCUUUUUAUCCAACCAUUGAUAAAACAAAUCCCAUAUCUUGUAAAAUUGUUUAUCUUCUUGUUCUCUAAUUUCAAAUGUCAGUUUACUCAUUUCAGCACAGUCCAUAAUUUUCCUAAUCACUUCCUCCUGGCGACCCAUUUUCAACCCCCCCUUCUCUUCUCCUGUGCAGCCGACCCCUGCCAGCCCAACCCUUGCUUGCACGGUGGAACCUGCGUGCGGGACAACAGCUCCGAGGCCUUCCGCUGCGAAUGCCAGGAGAAAUACCAGGGGAAACGCUGCGAGAACGAGCCAGAAGACGAUUGGCGGAUCCCCUUCUACAUCGCGCUGGGCGUGGCGGCCGGCGCCGUCCUGCUGGCCGUGGUGGUCUCCGUGCUGGUCUGCUUGUGCACGCGCAGGAAUCGGUCGCGGAACUCGGCGGCUUCCCGCAACCUCGGCCCCCUCUCCAACCCCGCAUUUGAGCGCGACUAGAAGCCGGGCCUUCCUUCCCCGGAGGGUCUGCCCUCCUCGCCCCGGAGCCCGCCCCUCCCUCCGGCCGUUCCCAAUAAAGCG
RNAcentral lists this long non-coding RNA (1081 nucleotides) under Naja naja (Indian cobra). RNAcentral describes it as "lncRNA (ENSNNAG00000007922.1)". Lineage: Eukaryota; Metazoa; Chordata; Lepidosauria; Squamata; Elapidae. The record is from RNAcentral.